UACGUAGGGUGCGAGCGUUGUCCGGAAUUACUGGGCGUGAAGAGCUCGUAGGUGGUUUGUCGCGUUGUUCGUGAAAACCUGAGGCUUAACCUUGGGCGUGCGGGCGAUACGGGCAGACUGGAGUACUGCAGGGGAGACUGGAAUUCCUGGUGUAGCGGUGGAAUGCGCAGAUAUCAGGAGGAACACCGGUGGCGAAGGCGGGUCUCUGGGCAGUAACUGACGCUGAGGAGCGAAAGCGUGGGGAGCGAACAGG
Molecule: ribosomal RNA, 253 nt
Filed under: uncultured bacterium
Lineage: Bacteria
Description: partial 16S ribosomal RNA
Rfam family: Bacterial small subunit ribosomal RNA
Source: RNAcentral